This 254-nucleotide ribosomal RNA is filed under the name uncultured bacterium. RNAcentral's name for it is "partial 16S ribosomal RNA". It matches the Rfam family "Bacterial small subunit ribosomal RNA", at positions 524 to 776 of the family's 1533-position model. The record is from RNAcentral.
UACGGAGGGUGCGAGCGUUGUCCGGAAUCAUUGGGCGUAAAGGGCGCGUAGGCGGCCCGGUCAGUUCGUGGUGAAAGCGCGGGGCUCAACCCUGCGUCGGCCAUGAAUACUGCCGCGGCUGGAGCACUGUAGAGGCAGGCGGAAUUCCGGGUGUAGCGGUGGAAUGCGUAGAUAUCCGGAGGAAUACCAAAGGCGAAGGCAGUGUCCUGGAGGGUGACUGACGCUGAGGCGCGAAAGCUAGGGGAGCGAACAGG